UCAUGACCUCAAAUCAGGUAGGAAUACCCGCUGAACUUAAGCAUAUCAUA
Molecule: ribosomal RNA, 50 nt
Filed under: Camarophyllopsis deceptiva
Lineage: Eukaryota; Fungi; Basidiomycota; Agaricomycetes; Agaricales; Clavariaceae
Description: partial large subunit ribosomal RNA
Source: RNAcentral